Molecule: transfer RNA, 71 nt
Filed under: Rasbora pauciperforata (red-stripped rasbora)
Lineage: Eukaryota; Metazoa; Chordata; Actinopteri; Cypriniformes; Danionidae
Description: tRNA-Ser
Rfam family: tRNA
About the family: Transfer RNA (tRNA) molecules are approximately 80 nucleotides in length. Their secondary structure includes four short double-helical elements and three loops (D, anti-codon, and T loops). Further hydrogen bonds mediate the characteristic L-shaped molecular structure. tRNAs have two regions of fundamental functional importance: the anti-codon, which is responsible for specific mRNA codon recognition, and the 3' end, to which the tRNAs corresponding amino acid is attached (by aminoacyl-tRNA synthetases). tRNAs cope with the degeneracy of the genetic code in two manners: having more than one tRNA (with a specific anti-codon) for a particular amino acid; and 'wobble' base-pairing, i.e. permitting non-standard base-pairing at the 3rd anti-codon position.
Source: RNAcentral
AAGAAGGUGACAGAGUGGUUAUGUGACCGGCUUGAAACUGGAAUAUGGAGGUUCAAUUCCUCCCCUUCUCG